Molecule: transfer RNA, 68 nt
Filed under: Apodichthys flavidus (penpoint gunnel)
Lineage: Eukaryota; Metazoa; Chordata; Actinopteri; Perciformes; Pholidae
Description: tRNA-Ser
Source: RNAcentral
GAGGGAGGCUCGCUAGCAACGGAGACUGCUAAUCUCCCCGACCUUGGUUGAACCCCAAGGCUCACUCG